Molecule: ribosomal RNA, 279 nt
Filed under: uncultured bacterium
Lineage: Bacteria
Description: partial 16S ribosomal RNA
Rfam family: Bacterial small subunit ribosomal RNA
Source: RNAcentral
UCAGCCCUACGGGGCGCAGCAGUAGGGAAUCUUCCACAAUGGACGAAAGUCUGAUGGAGCAACGCCGCGUGAGUGAAGAAGGGUUUCGGCUCGUAAAGCUCUGUUGGUAGUGAAGAAAGAUAGAGGUAGUAACUGGCCUUUAUUUGACGGUAAUUACUUAGAAAGUCACGGCUAACUACGUGCCAGCAGCCGCGGUAAUACGUAGGUGGCAAGCGUUAUCCGGAUUUAUUGGGCGUAAAGGGAACGCAGGCGGGCUUUUAAGUCUGAUGUGAAAGCCUU